This 354-nucleotide ribosomal RNA is filed under the name uncultured bacterium. Its description in RNAcentral is "bacterial SSU rRNA". It matches the Rfam family "Bacterial small subunit ribosomal RNA", at positions 8 to 350 of the family's 1533-position model. The record is from RNAcentral.
AGAGUUUGAUCCUGGCUCAGGAUGAACGCUAGCCACAGGCUUAACACAUGCAAGUCGAGGGGCAGCAUGAUUGAAGCUUGCUUCAAUUGAUGGCGACCGGCGCACGGGUGAGUAACGCGUAUCCAACCUUCCGUACACUCAGGGAUAGCCUUUCGAAAGAAAGAUUAAUACCUGAUGGUAUGAUGAGAUUGCAUGAUAGCAUCAUUAAAGAUUUAUCGGUGUACGAUGGGGAUGCGUUCCAGUUAGGUAGUAGGCGGGGUAAUGGCCCACCUAGCCGACGAUGGAUAGGGGUUCUGAGAGGAACGGUCCCCCACAUUGGAACUGAGACACGGUCCAAACUCCGUACGGGAGGCA